CUUAAUUUCAGGGUAGGGCUUAUUUAUUUACGGUACCGGCAUGUACAGCUCUUUCUCUUUGCACUCAUCUUGUCUGGGGAUCAAAAUACCGUACUGUCUAAUUAAUCCACCCCCCUUGAAUUAAUCCACCACCCCUUGAAUUAAUCCACCCCCUCUAAUUAAUCCACCCCCCCUCUAAUUAAUCCACCCCCUUUAAUUAAUCCACCCCCCCUUUAAUAAAUCCACCCCCU
This 230-nucleotide long non-coding RNA is filed under the name Pelobates cultripes (western spadefoot toad). The record is from RNAcentral. Lineage: Eukaryota; Metazoa; Chordata; Amphibia; Anura; Pelobatidae.